RNAcentral lists this ribosomal RNA (774 nucleotides) under uncultured fungus. RNAcentral describes it as "eukaryotic LSU rRNA". It matches the Rfam family "Eukaryotic large subunit ribosomal RNA", at positions 30 to 821 of the family's 3401-position model. Lineage: Eukaryota; Fungi. The record is from RNAcentral.
GAACUUAAGCAUAUCAAUAAGCGGAGGAAAAGAAACCAACAGGGAUUGCCUCAGUAACGGCGAGUGAAGCGGCAACAGCUCAAAUUUGAAAUCUGGCUCUUUCAGGGUCCGAGUUGUAAUUUGUAGAAGAUGCUUUGGGUGUAGCUCCGGUCUAAGUUCCUUGGAACAGGACGUCAUAGAGGGUGAGAAUCCCGUACGUGACUGGGUGCUUUCGCUCGUGUAAAGCUCUUUCGACGAGUCGAGUCGUUUGGGAAUGCAGCUCAAAAUGGGUGGUAAAUUUCAUCUAAAGCUAAAUAUUGGCCAGAGACCGAUAGCGCACAAGUAGAGUGAUCGAAAGAUGAAAAGCACUUUGGAAAGAGAGUUAAACAGUACGUGAAAUUGUUGAAAGGGAAGCGCUUGCAACCAGACUUGCGCGCUGUUGAUCAUCCGAGGUUUUCCCCGGUGCACUCGGCAGCGUUCAGGCCAGCAUCGGUUUUGGUGGGCGGAUAAAGGCCUUGGGAAUGUAGCUUCUUUCGGGGAGUGUUAUAGCCCUCGGUGCAAUGCGCCCUACUGGGACCGAGGACCGCGCUUCGGCUAGGAUGCUGGCGUAAUGGUUGUAAGCGACCCGUCUUGAAACACGGACCAAGGAGUCUAACAUCUAUGCGAGUGUUUGGGUGUCAAACCCAUACGCGUAAUGAAAGUGAACGGAGGUGAGAACCCUUAAGGGUGCAUCAUCGACCGAUCCUGAUGUCUUCGGAUGGAUUUGAGUAAGAGCAUAGCUGUUGGGACCCGAAA